This 497-nucleotide ribosomal RNA is filed under the name uncultured bacterium. RNAcentral's name for it is "partial 16S ribosomal RNA". It matches the Rfam family "Bacterial small subunit ribosomal RNA", at positions 28 to 507 of the family's 1533-position model. The record is from RNAcentral.
GAUGAACGCUGGCGGCGUGCCUAAUACAUGCAAGUCGAGCGAACAGAUGAGGAGCUUGCUCCUCUGACGUUAGCGGCGGACGGGUGAGUAACACGUGGAUCACCUACCUAUAAGACUGGGAUAACUUCGGGAAACCGGAGCUAAUACCGGAUAAUAUAUUGAACCGCAUGGUUCAAUAGUGAAAGACGGUUUUGCUGUCACUUAUAGAUGUAUCCGCGCCGCAUUAGCUAGUUGGUAAGGUAACGGCUUACCAAGGCAACGAUGCGUAGCCGACCUGAGAGGGUGAUAGGCCACACUGGAACUGAGACACGGUCAAGACUCCUAAGGGAGGCAGCAGUAGGGAAUCUUCCGCAAUGGGCGAAAGCCUGACGGAGCAACGCCGCGUGAGUGAUGAAGGUCUUCGGAUCGUAAAACUCUGUUAUUAGGGAAGAACAAAUGUGUAAGUAACUAUGCACGUCUUGACGGUACCUAAUCAGAAAGCCACGGCUAACUACGUG